GUAUUGCUCCAGCUACCAGUAAUUCCACUAAACCACACUCUACAUAACUACAGCUGGACUAUAUUAACCAGCACCCAGGGACAGAGCACCACAUGGAAAGUAUGAGGGCUCAUGCAAUGCUGGCAAAAGGUUCCUCAGUCAUGGUUGCAUCUAGCCAAGCACAGUGCUUGAGCACGAGGCCGUCAUUGGGGGUUUUAAAUGUCUGCGCCAUCUAACAAAGCGGGAGCAGGCCCAUCACACAAACUUCCCAGAACUGCUGGACCUUGCUGAAUUGUUGGGUUGCUUGUGACUAUUUCACAAAGCUCAAGAUUGACAAGAACACAAACUACAGGUCCUACAUAAUAGUGGACGAAAUGUUGAAGAUUCUGGCUAAACUUGUGGAGGAGCCUAUCCUCAAUGUCAUGACAUCCAGACAUCUGUAGCCAUUGGCCUGGACGCUGAUGAAACUACAGAUAUGGCAACUAAUAAGCAGCUGGAUUUACAUGUCAGAUAAAUGGACCAAGAGGUUCAACUUUACAACCAGUUCCUGGACCUGGUGUCAGUCCCUGAUGGCAAGGCAGACACUCCUGCCAUCAAAGAGGUGCUGCACAUCAGAAAGAUACCAACAUAGAGAUUGUACGGCUUGGGCACUGAUAGAGCUGCAGUGAUGACUGGUAUGGACACAACACAAGGUCUUAGAAUUAAAUUAUUGAGUCAGCGAAACCUCAGCGCAGUGUUGGCUGCAUAGUCUGAGGAGGUGGAGGUGAACCGGUGCCCAACUGCUUAGGGCCACUAUGCUUUCUGUGCCAUGUACAGGUAGGCCUAAAUGUAUUAUAGAUUAUA
Long non-coding RNA from Oncorhynchus keta (chum salmon), 822 nucleotides. RefSeq lists it as uncharacterized. NCBI's taxonomy places the organism in Eukaryota, Metazoa, Chordata, Actinopteri, Salmoniformes, Salmonidae. The transcript is spliced from 4 exons. The record is from RefSeq and is a predicted model, not a curated record.